ACACUCCUGCGGGAGGCAGCAGUGGGGAAUAUUGGACAAUGGGCGCAAGCCUGAUCCAGCCAUGCCGCGUGAGUGAUGAAGGCCCUAGGGUUGUAAAGCUCUUUCACCGGUGAAGAUAAUGACGGUAACCGGAGAAGAAGCCCCGGCUAACUUCGUGCCAGCAGCCGCGGUAAUACGAAGGGGGCUAGCGUUGUUCGGAUUUACUGGGCGUAAAGCGCACGUAGGCGGACUAUUAAGUCAGGGGUGAAAUCCCGGGGCUCAACCCCGGAACUGCCUUUGAUACUGGUAGUCUUGAGUUCGAGAGAGGUGAGUGGAAUUCCGAGUGUAGAGGUGAAAUUCGUAGAUAUUCGGAGGAACACCAGUGGCGAAGGCGGCUCACUGGCUCGAUACUGACGCUGAGGUGCGAAAGCUUGGGGAGCAAACAGGAUUAGAUACCCUGGUAGUCCC
This 447-nucleotide ribosomal RNA is filed under the name uncultured organism. Its description in RNAcentral is "partial 16S ribosomal RNA". It matches the Rfam family "Bacterial small subunit ribosomal RNA", at positions 333 to 797 of the family's 1533-position model. The record is from RNAcentral.